GUCGAGCGAAUGGAUUAAGAGCUUGCUCUUAUGAAGUUAGCGGCGGACGGGUGAGUAACACGUGGGUAACCUGCCCAUAAGACUGGGAUAACUCCGGGAAACCGGGGCUAAUACCGGAUAACAUUUUGAACUGCAUGGUUCGAAAUUGAAAGGCGGCUUCGGCUGUCACUUAUGGAUGGACCCGCGUCGCAUUAGCUAGUUGGUGAGGUAACGGCUCACCAAGGCAACGAUGCGUAGCCGACCUGAGAGGGUGAUCGGCCACACUGGGACUGAGACACGGCCCAGACUCCUACGGGAGGCAGCAGUAGGGAAUCUUCCGCAAUGGACGAAAGUCUGACGGAGCAACGCCGCGUGAGUGAUGAAGGCUUUCGGGUCGUAAAACUCUGUUGUUAGGGAAGAACAAGUGCUAGUUGAAUAAGCUGGCACCUUGACGGUACCUAACCAGAAAGCCACGGCUAACUACGUGCCAGCAGCCGCGGUAAUACGUAGGUGGCAAGCGUUAUCCGGAAUUAUUGGGCGUAAAGCGCGCGCAGGUGGUUUCUUAAGUCUGAUGUGAAAGCCCACGGCUCAACCGUGGAGGGUCAUUGGAAACUGGGAGACUUGAGUGCAGAAGAGGAAAGUGGAAUUCCAUGUGUAGCGGUGAAAUGCGUAGAGAUAUGGAGGAACACCAGUGGCGAAGGCGACUUUCUGGUCUGUAACUGACACUGAGGCGCG
Molecule: ribosomal RNA, 714 nt
Filed under: Bacillus cereus
Lineage: Bacteria; Bacillati; Bacillota; Bacilli; Caryophanales; Bacillaceae
Description: bacterial SSU rRNA
Rfam family: Bacterial small subunit ribosomal RNA
Source: RNAcentral